RNAcentral lists this ribosomal RNA (147 nucleotides) under uncultured eukaryote. Its description in RNAcentral is "partial small subunit ribosomal RNA". It matches the Rfam family "Eukaryotic small subunit ribosomal RNA", at positions 1296 to 1460 of the family's 1831-position model. The record is from RNAcentral.
AGUUGGUGGAUUGAUUUGUCUGGUUAAUUCCGUUAACGAACGAGACCUCAGCCUACUAAAUAGACAGAGGAAUCCUUCGGAAUUCCUUCUGCGCUUCUUAGAGGGACUAUUGGUGUUUAGCCAAUGGAAGCUUGAUGCAAUAACAGG